UUUUUCAACUACAAGUAAGCUUCUGAUCUAUUCUUUCCUUUAAUUAGCUUAGAUAAUUGGUGAUUUUUAAUUUUAUUAUUCUAAGUUAUCACAAUGUUAAUUCCCAUACUGAUGAACAUGAAACUUCCAUGUUGACAAGGAAAGAUUUCUAACAGUGCAGCGUCUGAAUAUUUCAUGUAUAAUGAACAAUGAACAAUAUCACUCAAUUUAAAAAAAGAAAUAGAGGUAGUAAUUUUAAUGCAUUGCUAUUUCUAUUUCUUUUCUUUUCCUUUCUAUAAUGAUGUUCUCAUAAUUUUGAGUGACAAACUGUAGAAUUGUUGCCGAGAAGUAGGAAGGAAAGAAAAAUCUCUGAAUAGAAAAAUAAAAGAAUAUUGUAUGAUACAGGCUUGAGAAAAUGAAUAUUUAUUCCACCAAUCACGUUAUAUUUAGAAGUUAUUACCCAAGAAGUUGCGGUGUACGUUUUUAAUUAUGGCAUUUCAAGAAAGCAGAACAUUGGGUUGACUACACAAAUUGAUUGGUUACUGUUAAUAUCUACAUGACUAUUCAAAGGAUAUCUGCAUGACAAGCUCGGUCGAGGUCCGAAGUAAGGGCAUCGAGUUUCGAGCUAUAAGACCGACCAAUGACAAGCCCGGUAUCAUUAUCGAACUCGUAUCCAAAUUGAACUACGAGGCAAGGCGCAGAUUAUCGAAGAUGCCUAGACCGACCAACGCUCACCCCGAAUAUCGAUCCUCCAAGGCAGAAUCGAGCUCGAACCAAGACCGGGGGCUCAAUCCAAUACCGAGCUCGAGCCAGAAUCGAGCUCGCGGACAAGAGUCAUUGCAACCACACUAUGGGGGAGAAUCUUGGCAGAAAUCAAGGAAGAGACAAAUCAUCAUGGGUCCUCCACUACAUGCAUUAUUUUAUUAUUUUGUUAUAGAUAAAGCAAUGACCCUCUAUUAUAAAAGGGAGGGUCCUUGUAAGCUAUGGGAAAAAUAAGAUUGCAAUAGACAGAUCUUCUCUCAUACAAAAAAGACAUCUCUUUGUGCUUGUUUUAUUUGAUCUUAUUCAAUUUCUCUGUUCAUCAUUUUCUAUCCUCACAGUCAAAUAGUUGUAUUGUUAUUUUUUGUAUCAAAGGUAUAUUACGUAUCCUUAGAACCUAUAUAUNUCGGAAGGCUACCUGACGAUGGCAACGAGGCUCGAGUCGAAGAACCCGAAAUUCGAGCUGAAGUACCAUUAGAUAUCAAUUCACAAAUAGCUCUGGAGGCGAAUCAGCGUUCCGAACCGGAAAGAAGCAUUCAGGGCGGUGCUCGACCCAUAGCCCGAGACACCCACAACACGGAGAAAAUCGGGAUCAACUUGCGUAUAAUCUUCGAAAUGCUACAAGCCCAACAAGUAGCGAUAGCUCAGUUGUAGAGCCAAACUCAUAUGCAAAGCAGGCCGGACUCCAAUCCACUUCUUCGAGAAGUCACCCCCAUAACGGAGCCCGCCAUAGUAAAAUCAAAUGAGCAAGAAUCGGGGACCACUCCUGAAAUUGCUAAAUUGCUCGAGGAACUUACAAAACGAGUAGAAGCCAACGACAAGAAAGUAGAAACAUAUAAUUCCAGGGUCGAUCAAAUCCCCGGGGCUCCGCCAAUGAUAAAAGGGCUGGAUUCGAAAAAAUUCAUACAAAAGCUUUUUCCCUCGAGCGCGGCCCCAAAACCAAUCCCCAAAAUAUUUCGUAUGCCCGAAAUUCCCAAAUAUAACGGUACGACCGAUCCUAACGAACAUGUCACCUCCUACACAUAUGCUAUCAAAGGCAACGAUUUAGAGGACAAUGAAAUCGAAUCCGUGUUGUUGAAAAAGUUCGGGGAGACCCUCGCGAAGGGAGCAAUGAUCUGGUAUCACAACUUACCACUAAAUUCCAUCGAUUCUUUUGCCAUGUUAGCAAAUUCGUUCGUAAAAGCACAUGCUGGUGCCAUAAAGGUUGCAACAAGGAAAUCAGACCUCUUCAAAAUAAAACAAAGGGGUAACGAAAUGCUGAGGGAAUUCGUAUCCCGAUUUCAAAUGGAACGUAUGGAUUUGCCAUCGGUCACAGACGAUUGGGCCGUACAAGCUUUCACCCAAGGGUUGAACGAGCUAUGUUCGACAGUAUCACGUCGGCUGAAACAAAAUUUGAUCGAGUAUCUAGCAAUAACUUGGGCAGAUGUACACAACCGGUAUCAAUCGAAAAUCAGGGUCGAGGACGAUCAAUUGGGAGCUCCGUAUGGACCCGUGCAUCAGAACCAGAUAACCACUAAAAACCAGAGGGAGAUCAGCAGAGAACAAAGGUCGAACAGAGACCAAUAUCAACCGUACGUCACAGAUCGGAUGAACAAUGGUUCAACACGUAAUACAGUUCGGAACAAUCGGACUGAUCGAGGGCAAAAUUCUCGGGGACUUAUGAGCAAAAGCGACUUUGAUAAAUAUGUCGAUCCUAUAGAAGCUCCUCGAUUAUCAGAGUAUAACUUCAACAUUGAUGCAUCGGCCAUCGUGUCGGCUAUCGGACGCAUCAAAGACACCAGAUAGCCUCGACCCAUGCAGACCGAUCCUGCCCAAAGGAAUCCCAAUCAAAUGUGCGAAUAUCAUGGCACCCAUGGCCACAGAACGGAAGAUUGCAGGCAAUUAAAAGAGGAAGUGGCCCGCUUAUUUAACAAAGGGCACCUUCGGAAAUUUCUGAGUGAUAGGGCGAAGAAUCAUUUUAAGAACAAGGAUUUUGGCAAGCAAAACGAGCUAGAAGAACCGCAACAUGUCAUUCACAUGAUCAUCGGCGGAGUCGAUACCCCUCAGGGACCGGUGCUUAAACGCACUAAAACAUAGAUUGUGAGGGAAAAAUGACCUCGGACUCAAGAUUACACACCCAUAGGGACUUUGUCUUUCAAUGAUGAAGAUGCAGAGGGAGUCAUCCAACCCCAUAACGAUGCACUGGUAAUAUCCGUACUCAUGAAUAAAACUAAAAUUAAGCAUGUGUUAAUUGAUCUAGGUAGCUUGGCCAAUAUCAUCAGAUCGAGGGUCAUAGAACAGCUCGGCCUGUAGAACCAAGUCGUACCCGCAACUCUGGUUCUAAACGGAUUCUAUAUGGCAUGUGAAACCACCAAAGGCGAGAUAAUCCUACCGAUAAACGUGGCCGGAACCAUCCAGGAAACAAAGUUUCACGUGAUGGAAGGCGAUAUGAGAUAUAACGCCCUUUUCGGAAGGCCAUGGAUCCACAACAUGAGAGCUGUACCUUCGACCCUACACCAGAUCCUCAAAUUCCCAACAUCGAGAGGUAUCAAAAUAGUGUACGGGGAACAACCGGCCGCAAAGAAAAUGUUCGCCGUCGAGGAAGCAAAAUCAAUAUCUUCGUCUUUGCCGAUAAAAGGAUCGGGUUCAGAAGGAGAACAGAACACCAAAUAGCAAUCAUAGACAUCGGCUUCGACCCAGCCAGAUAGACAGAACAUCGAAGAAGAUGAUGAUCAAUGGAUCCCUCGAUCCUUCGUGACCCCCGAUGAUUCCGACGCCACCAAAUCAACAAUUGAGGAACUGGAGCAAAUCAUACUAAUCGAACACUGGCCCGAAUGAAAGGUAUACCUGGGAACGGGUUUGAGCCCCGAACUCAGGAAGAAACUUAUUCAAUUUCUUAUCGAUAACAUCGACUGUUUUGCCUGGUUCCAUUUAGAUAUAAUAAGGAUUCCACCGGAUAUAACGGCGCAUCGGCUAAGCUUGGACCCUAGGUUUAGACCGGUGAAGCAAAAAAGAAGACCCCAAUCGGAGGUAAAGCACGCAUUCAUAAAGGAUGAGGUAACCAAACUUCUCAAAAUAGGGUCCAUUCGGGAGGUGAAAUACCCCGAAUAGUUAGCCAAUGUGGUUGUAGUGCCUAAAAAAGGGAACAAACUUAGAAUGUGUGUGGACUAUAAGGACUUGAACAAAGCAUGCCCCAAAGAUUCCUUUCCGCUGCCCAACAUCGAUCGCAUGAUCGAUGCCACGGCCGGCCACGAGAUCCUCACCUUUAUCGAUGCCUAUUCCGGGUAUAAUCAAAUUCAGAUGAACCCGGAGGACCAGGAAAAGACUUCAUUUGUGACCAAAUAUGGAACAUAUUGUUAUAAUGUAAUGCCUAUGCCCUUCGGGCUAAAAAAUGCAGGGGCUACUUAUUAACGCCUAGUAAAUAAAAUGUUCGAAGAACAAAUAGGUAAAUCAAUGGAAGUCUAUAUUGAUGACAUGCUAGUUAAGUCCCUGCGUGCAGAGGACCAUUUGGCCCAUUUGUAGGAAACGUUCGAGAUUUUGAGAAAAUACAACAUGAAGCUCAACCCCGAAAAAUGUGCUUUCGGGGUCGGUUAGGGCAAGUUCCUCGGCUUCAUGGUAUCAAAUCGGGGAAUCGAGAUUAACCCCGACAAAAUCAAGGCCAUUGAAGAUAUCAUCAUCGUGGACAGCGUGAAAGCUGUACAAAGGUUAACAGGAAGGAUUGCAGCCUUAUGCCGAUUCAUUUCGAGAUCAUCACAUCGAAGUCACAAAUUUUUCUCUCUACUCAAAAAGAAGAAUGACUUCGCUUGGACUCCGGAAUGCCAAUGAGCGUUACAGGGAUUGAAACAAUAUCUAUCAAGCCCACCACUACUUCACACUCCAAAAAUAGACGAAAAACUUUACUUGUACUUGGCGGUAUCGGAAGUCGCCGUAAGCAGUGUCCUAGUUCGAGAAGAGCAAGGUACGCAAUUUCCCAUUUAUUAUAUAAGUCGGACCUUAGGAGAAGCGGAAACUAGGUAUCCGCACUUAGAAAAAUUGGCACUUGCGCUGAUAAGCGCCUCUAGAAAGUUGAGACCGUACUUUCAAUGUCACCCCAUAGGCGUAUUAACCACCUACAUACUUCGUAAUAUUUUGCAUAGGCCCGAACUAUCAGGCCGAUUGGCCAAAUGGGCCGUCGAACUCAGUGGGUACGAUAUCGAAUAUCAACCCCGUACGGCCAUCAAGUCUCAAAUUUUAGCAGACUUCGUGGCCGACUUCACGCCAACCCUCGUACCCGAAGUUGAAAAAGAACUCCUGUUGAAAUCGGGUACAUCGUCGGGGGUAUGGAUCCUUUUUACGGAUGGGGAUUCGAACGUGAAGGGGUCCAGGCUAGGCAUAGUUUUGAAACCACCCAGGGUAACAUUAUUAGGCAAGCUAUUAAUACUAUCAGGUUAACUAACAACGAGGUUGAGUAUGAAGCCAUGAUUGCAGGUCUCGAGCUAGCUAGAAACUUGGGAGCAGAAAGCAUUGAGGCUAAUUGUUACUCUUUGCUGGUGGUGAGUCAAGUAAAUAAAACCUUCGAAGUCCGAGAAGGUAGAAUGCAAAGGUAUUUAGACAAACUGCUUGUCACUUUGCACCAUUUCAAACAAUGGACUCUACGGCAUGUUCCACGAGAGCAAAAUAAUGAGGCCGAUGUGCUUGUGAAUUUGGGAUCGUCGGUCGAGGUAGAUGAUUUGAGCUCGGGGACUGUCGUUCAACUUUCGAGAUCGAUAAUCGAAGAUGGGCACGCCGAGAUAAAUUCUACUAGAUUAACCUGGGAUUGAAGAAACAAGUAUAUUAAUACUUAAAGAACGGAAAGCUCCCAUCAGACCAUAAAGAUUCCAGGACCCUACGGACUAAAGCUGCUCGAUUUAUGUUGGCUACGGACGGAACACUAUAUCGAAGGACAUUCGAUGGACCGUUGGCAGUAUGCUUGGGACCGGGAGAUACCAAUUACAUCCUACGGGAAGUACACGAGGGCACUUGUGGGAAUCACUCCGGUGCUGACACAUUAGUUCGAAAAGUAAUCAGAGCAGGGUAUUAUUGGAUCGAUAUGGGCAAAGAUGCGAAAGAAUUUGUUCGUAAAUGUGACAAAUGUCAAAGGUUCGCGCCAAUGAUCCAUCGACCCGGAGAGCAACUUCACUCAGUCCUAUCCCUAUGGCCGUUCAUGAAAUGGGGAAUGGACAUCGUCGGCCCUCUGCCAUCGACCCCAGGUAAAUCCAAAUUUAUUUUAUUUAUGACUGACUAUUUUUCUAAAUAGGUUGAAGCACAGGCAUUCGAGAAAAUAAAAGAGAAAGAAGUUAUAGACUUUAUUUGGGAUCAUAUCAUAUGCCGGUUCGGGAUAUCUGCCGAAAUAGUAUGUGACAAUGGGAAGCAAUUUGUUGGUAGCAAAGUAACAAAGUUCUUCGAAGAUCACAAAAUAAGAAGGAUACUAUCAACACCAUACCACCCCAGUGGGAACAGACAUGCCGAAUCAACGAACAAAACUAUUCUUCAAAACCUGAAAAAGAGGUUGAACGAUGCUAAAGAAAAAUGGAGAGAAAUCCUGCCCGAAAUCCUUUGGGCAUACCGGACAACGUCAAAAUCCAGUACGGGGGCGACCCCAUUCUCCUUAGUAUAUGGUUCCGAAGCAUUGAUACCAGUCAAAGUCGGUGAACCUAGUCCCAGAUUUCGAUUCACGACGGAAGAAUCAAAUAACGAGGCUAUGAAUACCAGCCUUGAAUUAUCAGACAAAGGACGAGAAGCUGCUCUCGUCCAAUUGGCUGCCCAAAAGCAAUGAAUCGAAAGAUAUUAUAAUCGAUACUCCGCCAUUUCAAGCCCGGGGACUUAGUGUUAAGAAAAGUCACCGUCAAUACCCGGAAUCCGAAUGAAGAAAAACUAGGACCAAAUUGGGAAGGACUAUAUCAGGUGCUCGAGAACGUCGGAAAGGGAUCGUACAUGCUCGGCAUUAUAAACGGCAAACAGCUAUCAAGCAGUUAGAAUGUAUCACAUCUAAAACGGUACUACUGCUAAGGUACGACCCUUCCAUAUUCAUUUAACUGACCCCUGCAGAAGUCUAAACAAAAGCUAAGAUGGAUCUUUCGCUUGGAAGCAUGUGUUGCGCUCUUUUUCCCUAAGACCGGUUUUAUCCCAAAUGGGUUUUUUUGGCAAGGUUUUUAAUGAGGCAACCAUUGAUCGUGCUGCACUUUCAACAAUAUCCGAGGCCUUCUUUCAAUCGACCUCGAAUACUGGGGGGCCAUUAGGCCCUCAAAUAUAUCAAAUUCAGAUGCAAGAAAGUUAUUUCACAACAACAGGGUUCCAAUAGGAAAAAUUGUAAAGAGCCAAAUGGUCAAAACGAACCAUGCUCAUGUAGACUGGCCCGAACCCAGGCGCAAAACAUGAACACAUGUAUAAUGACUUGAGAUUUAUUGUACAAUCAGAGUUAAGAAAAACUCAACCAUUAAGCCUACGGGCCACAUUAUUUCGAGUUCGAAACAUUCACUCGACUAUUAGGCCUACAGGCUAAUUUCAUUUCGAGUUCGAGCGAGCACUCACUCGACCAUUAUGCCUACGGGCCACAUUAUUUUGAGUUCGAAACAUUCACUCGACUAUUAGGCCUAUGGGCUACUUUAUCUCGAGUUCGAAACACUCACUCGACCAUUACGCCUAUGGGUCACAUUAUUUCGAGUUUGAAACAUUCACUCGACUAUUAGGCCUACGGGCUACAUUAUUUCCAGUUCGAAACAUUCACUCGACUAUUAGGCAUACGGGCUACUUUCAUUUCGAGUUCGAGCGAGCACUCACUCGACCAUUACGCCUACGGGCCACAUUAUUUUGAGUUCGAAACAUUCACUCGACUAUUAAGCCCACGGGCUUCUUUUAUUUCGAGUUCGAGCAAUCACUCACUCGACCAUUACGCCUACGGGCCACGUUAUUUUGAGUUCGAAACAUUCACUCGACUAUUAAGCCUACGGGUUACUUUAAUUUCUAGUUCGAGCAAGCACUCACUCGACCAUUACGCCUACGGGCUACAUUAUUUCGAGUUCGAAACAUUUACUCGACUAUUAGGCCUACGGGCUACUUUUAUUCCGAGUUCGAGCAAGCACCCGCUCGACCAUUGCGCCUACGGGCUACAUCGCUUCAAGUUCGAAACAUUCAUUCAACGGCUAAUCAGCCUAUAAGCUACUUUUACUUUGGGUUUGAGAAAACACUCACUCAACCAUUACACCUACGGGCUAUAUUUCUUCAAAGAUUGAAUCAUUGGCUCAACUAGCAAGCCUAAAGGCUACAUCACUUCAAGUCUGAAAAAACAAUCGAUCGAUCAUAGAGACCACAAAGUCAACAUUUGAUUAAAGUCUUCACAAAAACAAAUCGACCUUGUUAUAUAUACAAGAUUGCCUACGUGAUUGAUUACAAACGUAAAAAAUUAAAAAGCUUCCUGGUCACCCUCUGGGGCAUUCGCUCCACUGUCGAGCUCUUCCCCAUCCUCAGAUCUACUCUUGCUGCCGCCAUCAUCAUCAUCAUCGGAAGCCAAGGCUUCAGCUUCAACUUCGAGCUCUUUAACCCUUUUUAUCUCUUCGGUAAGGUCAAAACCUCGAGCAUGUAUCUCCUCGAGGGUCUCCUUCCGAGACCUACACUUAGCAAGCUCGGCAACUCAAUGAGCUCGAGCAUCGGCAGUAUCCACCGCCUCCCGGGCCUCCAUUUGAGCAGCCUCGGUAUCAACCCGAUAUACAGCAAUAGACUUAUCCGCCAAGACUUUCGACGAUUUAACCUCCGCCUUAGCCUCAGCAAGCCGUAUUUCAAGUUCCUCGAUCUUCUUAGCUUGAGCCAACCCUUUUUGCUUGACACUUCGAAGUUGAACAUCGGCCGAUAAUAGUUUGGUCAAAAUGGUUUCUUUUUCCGCAGCCAGGCGGUCGAGAGUCUCCUUCCACCGAUUGCAUUCAGCUUUGAUUAGAUCAACUUCUUCUCGAAGCAGCCCGAUCUUUUCAACCUUUUGCUGUAGCUGAGACAACGAAGGGUUAACUUCCACAGUCGAGUCAGACCCAUACUUUAACAAAAUGAGGCUCACCUGCUUAUCAAGUUCAGCCCCUUCUUCACGAACCUUAGCCAAAUCCGCUUGGAGGUCCUUUAUAGCCUCGUCCUUUUGGCUGCAAAGAAGACGCAGGGCGUCUCUCUCACCCGAGACCUUCCGAAGCUCGCCCUCACAUUGGCUAAGAUCGACUCGAAACCUAUUAAUGGCCUGCACAGUAAGGAAAAAACACAAGUCAAGUAUGGAAAAGAACAAAGGAACCAAGUGUAGAAGAAUCUAUUACCCGAGUAAUGAAACGUUGGGCCUUCUCUAGUAGAAGAGAAGCGUCACCGAUAUCGAAAGCGUCAUAGACUCCAGUAAAGCAAUCCCUAAAAGGGUCUCCUACACUAGAGCCUCCACCCAUAUCGGGGGUCUUCAAUUCUCGAGCUUCCUUUAACGCCUCCUCAGAAAAUAUUGGAAGAGAAGGUGAGUGACCCAUCGUCAUAGCCCCGAGAAAAUCAUUCGGGGUGCUCCGAUCAAGACUCGGGACUUCAGGACUGACCCCGACUGGCACAACCGCCAUUGGCUCAGGAGCUCUAGCAACCUCGAUAGCUUUCGCAGAUCGGAUCACCAAAGCCGAGGCGUUAUCUUCUUCUUCCUCUUCUUCUUCUUCUUCUUCUUCUUCUCUCAAUCGUUGGACCGAGUCAAUCGAAAGGGCAAUUUCUUUUUUCCUCACCCUCCGAGUUUUGGGCUUGGGGUCCUCUGACCGAGAGGAAGCUUUUCGCUUCUUAUCUUUCCCCGAUUGCGGGACCGGGGACUUGGUCCCUUCUUCACCACUCGAAGGCCUCAAAGCGGCAUCCUUGGUUACGCUUACAUGAGAGAAAAUCGGUAACAAAUAGAACACAAAGAAUACUUCGAAAGAAACAAGAAGCAAAACCUUACCAUGGUUCUUGGCCUCCCAUCUACCUUUAGCCAAAUCACGCCAAGCGCGUUCGGCGUAAGAUGAAGUCGAGGCUAACUUCUGAACCCAAUCCUCGAGGUCAGGUACCGCUUGUGGCAUCCAAGGGGCAGCUGAAUAUCAGGGAAAGACAUAAAAAUAAAUUGGGAAAAGACACAAAAAACAAACAAGAAUCACUUACGGUCGAAAUUCCAUUCUUCGGGAAACGGCAUCUUCUCUUCCGGAAUAAGGUCACGGGUCCUCACUCGAAUGUAACGACCCAUCCAACCCCGAUCCUUGUCUUUAUCAAUGCUCGACAUCAAAGCCUUCGAUGCCCGAUGAUGAAGUCUGAUUAGUCCUCGAAAGAUCUGAGGCCGAUACAAUCGUAUGAGGUGAUUCAAAGAAAAAUCCAGCCCCCAACUUUGAUAGAAAAGAAGCAAAGUGAGAUCUCCAUAUGCCAAAAAAAGGGAUGAAUUUGACCGAGGGUGACCUGGUACCUUUUGCAGAAUUCAAUAAUCACCGGGUCGACAGGUCCCAACGUGAAGGGAUAAGUGUAAAUACUUAAAAACCCCUCCAAAUGUGUGAUGACACUCUCAUCGGGGGAUGGAAUUUGCAACACGACCUCGGGACCCCAGUUACAGUCUUUUCUGACGGCCUCGAGGUGACCCUCCAUUAUAGAGCACAUAUACGUCGACACAUGCUCACAUCGACCUGGAACGGAUGAAGGAUUCUCUACCUUAAAAUCGAUCUUUAGAGUGCACGGGCCGGGAACAUAAUCGUGAAUGGACGGCUCCACCGGCGUCUUAUCGCCGGACGGCCGUGAAGAAGAAGCUUUCUCCUUCUGAGGUACAGUUUUUGAAGUUUUCGCCAUAGAUACGAGAAGAAGGAAUACAAAAGAAAGUGAAAAUUUGACGGUACCAAAAACUCUAGUGUGGAUGGCUCUAAAGUAACGAAAUAGAGAGGAAAAAUAAAGAGAAUUUGGAGGAUUGAAGACACAAAAGUGAUGAAUGGUGGAAGGAAAGGCUAUUUAUAGAUUGGAGCAAUGACGGUUCAAUAUUGCGGUGGCCGACCACCUUCUGACACACAUUAAAUGCCUCGAUAAAACCGAGCCGAUGGGACAGUUAUCGUAUACGUCAUGGUCGAGACCGAUGUAAACGUCACCAUAUAUCUGAUCGAGCUGUUGAGAAAUCAUAUUAUUUCUCGCCACAUCCUUUUCCGAGAAACGAUGGAACUAUCUGUGUACGGUCAAAAUCGGUUGACUCAGUUAUACGGACUGGUCGAGACAAUGAUGUUUCGAUCAAAGGGUAACUAUAUGACAAGCUCGGUCGAGGUCCGAAGUAAGGGCAUCGAGUUUCGAGCUAUAAGACCGACCAAUGACAAGCCCGGUAUCAUUAUCGAGCUCGUAUCCAAAUUGAACUACGAGGCAAGGCGCAGAUUAUCGAAGAUGCCUAGAUCGACCAACGCUCACCCCGAAUAUCGAUCCUCCAAGGCAGAAUCGAGCUCGAACCAAGACCGGGGGCUCGAUCCAAUACCGAGCUCGAGCCAGAAUCGAGCUCGCGGACAAGAGCCGUUGCAAUCACACUAUGGGGGAGAAUCUUGAUAGAAAUCAAGGAAGAGACAAAUCAUCAUGGGUCCUCCACUACAUGCAUUAUUUUAUUAUUUUAUUAUAGAUAAAGCAAUGACCCUCUAUUAUAAAAGGGAGGGUCCUUGUAAGCUAUGGGGAAAAUAAGAUUGCAAUAGACAAAUCUUCUCUCAUACAAAAAAACAUCUCUUUGUGGUUGUUUUAUUUGAUCUUAUUCAAUUUCUUUGUUUAUCAUUUUCUAUCCUCACAGUCAGAAUACUUGUAUUGUUAUUUUUGUAUCAAAGGAUAUUACGUACCCUUAGAACCAUACAUAAAUUUAACGUUAUCCGAUUUUUCGGGUAAACAUGUACCUUUUUUGUUCAAGUAUGCUUGUUCUUCCUAUGUUUGUCUUAAUUUAUUUAUCAUUUUUUUAAAAACACAAUUGAGCCAAUUUAAUGAAUUUUAAAGCAAAGUAAACUAAAGUAGCUCAAGCUUUUGGAACUAAUUGUAGGAAUAUUAGGAAAAAUUAUGGAUGAGUCAAAGAUAAUAAGCAUGAUUUACAAUUUGGUUUUAUAAAUAUUGUUAAAUAUUUUAUUUGUAAAUUUUACCACUUUUAUUAUAUGAAUUUUUUUAUUUAAAGCUUAAGAUAUUCAUAUUCAAUUUCUUGUCACAAAAUUAGUUUGCGUCAAUCAUUCUCUAGUUUAUAAUAGUGUUAAUUUUUCAUGAAGUACCACAAAACAUCAAACUACCAACAUCUAACAUGCGAUUGCCGUGUUUAUAUUUUGUGAUAAGAUAUAUUUACACAAUUCAACUAAUAUUCUUCUAUCAAAUUCACUGAUAAAAGAGUUCAUAACUUUGUAUCAGAUAAAGGGUAUGUGUACAUGCAAUUAUAAUUUAUGUACACAAAUCAAAUUUACUGAUUUUAAUAGUUGCUUGUGUAUUUUUAUCAUAAUUAACUACUACUUCUAUGCAGGUGUACAUCAUUCCUAAAGAAGACAUAUCUUGAUCGAAUUUCUAUAUAGCUUCUACAAAAUACUAACUUUCAUUAGGCAACAGCCUCUUGAUAUGUAUGUGUUUGUAAAAGAGAGAGGCUAUAAUUUCUUGAACACGAGGUACAUGUAUUAAGACAUGAAGCACUUGCAGUCAUAGUCAUUGCUCAUAUUCAUGUAUAAACGACGUGUUUUUUGAAAUAUGAUA
This 12414-nucleotide long non-coding RNA is filed under the name Nicotiana tabacum (common tobacco). RNAcentral describes it as "long non-coding RNA (NTAB_LNC011337)". The record is from RNAcentral. Lineage: Eukaryota; Viridiplantae; Streptophyta; Magnoliopsida; Solanales; Solanaceae.